Molecule: long non-coding RNA, 1385 nt
Filed under: Capra hircus (goat)
Lineage: Eukaryota; Metazoa; Chordata; Mammalia; Artiodactyla; Bovidae
Description: lncRNA (ENSCHIG00010007183.1)
Source: RNAcentral
AUGUGGAAUCUUAACUCCCCAAUGAGGGUUCAAACACUCAGUCCCUGCAUUGGAAGGCAGAGUCUUAACUGGACCAGCAGGGAAGUCUCAUCCUUAUUCAAUUUUUUGAUCCUACAAUUAUUUGAUCUUUCUUCAUUCACAGGGAUUCUGUUUGAGAAUGACAGUCUUUCAUCAGCAAAAAAAAAAAAAAAAGGAGGCAUACUCAGGGACAAAUGAACAAAAAUUACAGAAGAGACUCCAGUCUCUUGGAGAAGAUUGUCAGCUAGGAUUACUCCAAAUCUCUUGAUGAUUCUCUUCUUUUUAACUUUUGGUUGGCCAACAACCUUUCACCUGAAAGGCUGGGAUAGGGGAGAAUAGAGGAGGAGAAGAGAAGACAAAAUUUUGAUUUGUUUUGGAAGUUUCCAGAAGGCCCUCAAUGGAGAAGACCAAAAUUAGAAGGACAUUGCGGUGGAAGGGAAAUAGACAAAGGACUGAAUAAUAUCAAGCAAUCUGUGGCGAUCCUUCAGUAGAAACCUAGUCCAUUACUGGAAAGUGAGUGGGGAGUUAGUGUUUAAUGGAGACAGAGAUUCAGUUUAGGAAGGUGAAAAGUUUGGCAGACGGAUGAUGGUGAGAGUUGUACAACAAUGUGAAUGUUCUUAGUGUCGCUGAAAUGUCCAGUUAAAUAUGGUUCAAAUAGUAUGUUUUAUGUUGUGUGACUUUUCCCACAAUAAAAUUUUAUUUUUUUUAAAAGAGAGUGAACCAUGUUAGUAGUUAAAGAAUGCUGCUCAGCUUUGUGUGAUGUACCCACACAGAACUCCUGUUGCCAUUUCUGCAGUUGUUUCUAGACUGUGGUGGGUGAUGAACAGGAGAGGAGAGAGAGGGUGGUGGUGAGGUGCCAGAGAACAGGAAAAAAUUCUUAAUUAUGGUGCCUACCUCUCUGCUUGCUCCCCUCAAACAACCUGGGAGAAAAAUACUCUGCGUUUUGUGUUUUUAGCUCAUGAAAGCCAAUGAAAUUAGAGCCAAGCACCCAGGUGGCAUAGUGGUAAAGAAUGUGCCUGCCAGUGAGGAGGCGUGAGUUUGAUCCCUGUGUUGGGAAGAUCCCCUGGAGUAGGAAAUGGCAACUCACUCCAGUAUUCUNNNNNNNNNNNNNCCAUGGACAGAGGAACCUGGCAGGCUACAGUCCAUGGGGUCCCAAAGAGUUGGGCACGACUUAGCACAAGCACUGACUAAGCGAGGAGUUCCUACUUUUGAAUAUUAACGAUGGCCUUUAAAUUGCUGUAAUUCCCUCAACAAUGCUACAAGGGAGAUCUUACUCAUGUAAUUUAGAACUGAAUCUUGUAUAGAGUUUGUACAGAUAUUAAGCAAAUUGCACAGUCGACAACUGCAGAGUUGACCUUUCUUUCAAA